UUGAAUUUUAAUGAAGAGUUUGGUUGUAGCUGGCCCAUUCAUUUGGGCAUGUGCACACCUUCCUCUUUCAUCCCACACACACCUGUGAACCUGUGAGACAGAGAUGGGGAAUUUACUUGCUGCUUUUUGGAAUACAAAGGCAAUAGGUUAUUGGACUCCCCCUCUGUCUACUCAAUUAAUAUAAACUCAAUUUAUUUUAAAACGAAUGUAAUGGAUGUAACACAUCUCAUAC
Molecule: unclassified non-coding RNA, 232 nt
Filed under: soil metagenome
Description: partial internal transcribed spacer 1
Source: RNAcentral